UGGGGAAUAUUGGACAAUGGGCGAAAGCCUGAUCCAGCAAUACCGCGUGUGUGAAGAAGGCCUUAGGGUUGUAAAGCACUUUCAAUUGGAAGGAAAAAAGUGAGGUCAAUACCCUCACUCUUGACAUUACCUUUAGAAGAAGCACCGGCUAACUCCGUGCCAGCAGCCGCGGUAAUACGGAGGGUGCGAGCGUUAAUCGGAAUUACUGGGCGUAAAGAGUGUCGUAGGCGGCUUUUCAAGUGCAUGGUGAAAUCUUUGGGCUCAACUCAAAAAUUGCUGUGCAUACUGAUUGGCUAGAGUGCGCUAGAGGAUGCUGGAAUUCUCGGUGGAGGGGUGAAAUCCGUUGAUAUCGAGAAGAACACCAAGGGCGAAGGCAGGCAUCUGGGGCGUUACUGACGCUGAUGAACGAAAGCUAGGGGAGCAAAAGGG
Molecule: ribosomal RNA, 429 nt
Filed under: uncultured bacterium
Lineage: Bacteria
Description: bacterial SSU rRNA
Rfam family: Bacterial small subunit ribosomal RNA
Source: RNAcentral